RNAcentral lists this ribosomal RNA (520 nucleotides) under uncultured bacterium. RNAcentral's name for it is "bacterial SSU rRNA". It matches the Rfam family "Bacterial small subunit ribosomal RNA", at positions 120 to 674 of the family's 1533-position model. The record is from RNAcentral.
GGGAAUCUGCCCCUCGGUUCGGAAUAACAGCGAGAAAUUGCUGCUAAUACCGGAUGAUGACUUCGGUCCAAAGAUUUAUCGCCGAGGGAUGAGCCCGCGUAAGAUUAGGUAGUUGGUGGGGUAAUGGCCCACCAAGCCGACGAUCUUUAGCUGGUCUGAGAGGAUGAUCAGCCACACUGGGACUGAGACACGGCCCAGACUCCUACGGGAGGCAGCAGUGGGGAAUAUUGGACAAUGGGCGAAAGCCUGAUCCAGCAAUGCCGCGUGAGUGAUGAAGGCCUUAGGGUUGUAAAGCUCUUUUACCAGGGAUGAUAAUGACAGUACCUGGAGAAUAAGCUCCGGCUAACUCCGUGCCAGCAGCCGCGGUAAUACGGAGGGAGCUAGCGUUGUUCGGAAUUACUGGGCGUAAAGCGCACGUAGGCGGCUACUCAAGUCAGAGGUGAAAGCCCGGGGCUCAACCCCGGAACUGCCUUUGAAACUAGGUAGCUAGAAUCUUGGAGAGGUCAGUGGAAUUCCGAGU